This 253-nucleotide ribosomal RNA is filed under the name uncultured microorganism. RNAcentral's name for it is "partial 16S ribosomal RNA". It matches the Rfam family "Bacterial small subunit ribosomal RNA", at positions 524 to 776 of the family's 1533-position model. The record is from RNAcentral.
GACAGAGGUGGCAAGCGUUGCUCGGAUUCACUGGGCUUAAAGGGCGCGUAGGCGGCUUUGUAAGUCCGAGGUGGAAUUCCACAGCUUAACUGUGGAACUGCCUUGGAAACUGCAAGGCUUGAGUCAGGUAGAGGGAGGCGGAAUUCCCGGUGUAGCGGUGAAAUGCGUAGAUAUCGGGAGGAAGGCCGGUGGCGAAGGCGGCCCCCUGGGCCUGUACUGACGCUCAUGCACGAAAGCGUGGGGAGCAAACAGG